UCAGGCCUAACACAUGCAAGUCUAGCGGAAACGAGUUAUCUGAACCUUCGGGGAACGAUAACGGCGUCGAGCGGCGGACGGGUGAGUAAUGCCUAGGAAAUUGCCCUGAUGUGGGGGAUAACCAUUGGAAACGAUGGCUAAUACCGCAUGAUGCCUACGGGCCAAAGAGGGGGACCUUCGGGCCUCUCGCGUCAGGAUAUGCCUAGGUGGGAUUAGCUAGUUGGUGAGGUAAGGGCUCACCAAGGCGACGAUCCCUAGCUGGUCUGAGAGGAUGAUCAGCCACACUGGAACUGAGACACGGUCCAGACUCCUACGGGAGGCAGCAGUGGGGAAUAUUGCACAAUGGGCGCAAGCCUGAUGCAGCCAUGCCGCGUGUGUGAAGAAGGCCUUCGGGUUGUAAAGCACUUUCAGUCGUGAGGAAGGUAGUGUCGUUAAUAGCGGCAUUACUUGACGUUAGCGACAGAAGAAGCACCGGCUAACUCCGUGCCAGCAGCCGCGGUAAUACGGAGGGUGCGAGCGUUACUCGGAAUUACUGGGCGUAAAGCGCAUGCAGGUGGUUUGUUAAGUCAUAUGUGAAAGCCCGGGGCUCAACCUCGGAAUAGCAUUUUGAAACUGGCAGACUAUAGUAUUUGUAUAGGGGGGUA
This 644-nucleotide ribosomal RNA is filed under the name uncultured bacterium. Its description in RNAcentral is "bacterial SSU rRNA". It matches the Rfam family "Bacterial small subunit ribosomal RNA", at positions 42 to 663 of the family's 1533-position model. The record is from RNAcentral.